UUUACCCGCAACCAGUGAAAGAUUCUUAAGGUAAUUAGAAAAUCGAAAAUGUUACAGAUAUUUCUCCCAGUUUUUUUUAACCAAGAUGGAAAUAGAUCAAGCCCAUUAUUGGAUGUAAAAUUUGCAGCUGAAAAGUGUGUUAUGUUGUGUAUUACGUUAAACUUUAAUGAUUUUUAGUGGCUUAAUAUGUGGUACUUAUUAUCUGUGGACUGGUCCUACGGAUGUGAAACGCGGGUAGUCGAGCAUGAUGGGUCACCGUUUUUGAUGAUGGAGAAUUUCAUUUAACUUUUUUUUUGUUUUGUCAGGUCUUGGCGGAUGUUUUGAGCGCACAGUAACAAACACUGGUCUAAGUGUAUCAACGCAGGAAGCUACAAGAUACAUGUGAUUACAUCUGCUGAUCGGAAGGAGUUGCUGAGGAUGUAAAAAACAAGCCAUAUUUUGGGGAAAUGGAGUAGGAAGACGUUGGCUGGUUGCUGUGGCAUUUUAACAGUACCGCAGUAGAUGUUUAGGAAGUGCUGGUAGACGAAGCUAUGAUUACCUAGUAGAGCAAAACAGUUCCGCAAUCCAGAAUUUCAGAAACAAAGGAUGCAUCAUAGUUGGACUUGUGUAAACGGAAUUAAUGCAGUGGACUUUUAUUUGUUGGACAAUCCAUAUUAUUCGUUUGACAAUUGAUUUAUAAAGACACCUGUCAAAAUGUAUUAGGCAGGUAUAAAACAAAAUAAAAGGCUUCUUAUGGUCAACCUUCUUACUAUAGUAGCCUGCCUUCAGAAAAUUACCUCUUACAUUAUUUAGGUAAAGAGUAAAGGUGACAGGUAUCUCAUUACUGCAGACUAUCUGGAAUAAUGAUCUUUCCUCGGACAUUUAAAUGUAAAGGCUAAUUGCAGGUGGCCGGUAGAUGAAACCUGUUAUUCUAGCGACCAGUAGGUUUAAGGUCAAGGUCGGGUGAGCGAUUAGGAUCGAUGAAUGUCCGUUGUCCGUCCGUUAAAUUUAGUCUGUUUACACUCUAGCAUCAACAAUUUUAAAGCAGUUUUAAUCAAAAUCAAAGGAAAAUCUUGUAAAAACUCUAGAGGUCACAUUUAUGAACAUAUCUUUCUGAAACUUGGUUAGAACGUUUAUCUUGACAAUCUUUAGGAAAGUUUCGAAACUGGUUCAAGUGAGGUCAGAAACAAGGUCACUUGGCCAGAUUAAAGGAAAAACUUGUUAACUCUCUGGAAACCACUUUUUAAAUUUGAAACUCUUGAUAGUCAGAUUUUUUGUUUUAGGUUAAAUUUGAUUCUGUGUCGAAUCAAAGGAAAACUGUAUGUGUGUGUGUAAUAGGGUGUGCAGUUUACACUGAAUCUUCAUGAAAUUUGAUCAGAAUGUUUACCUUGCUGUAAUCAAGGUCAGCUUUGAAUAUGGGUUAUCUGGGUCAAAAACUAGGUCACCCGAUUAAAUCAAAGAAAACUGUGUGUGUAUGCAAUAAGGGCUGCAUUUUAUGCUUGAUCUUUAUAAAAUCUGAUCAGAAUGUUUGUCUUGAUGCAAUCUAGAUCAAGUGUGAAUAUGGGUCAUCUGGGGUAAAAAAAAUAGGUAACCCGGUCAAAUAAAAAAGAGCAAAACCUUGUGUGCAAUAGAGGCCGCAUUUUUCACUGAUCUUCAUGAAAUUUGAUCUGAAUGUUUGUUUUAAUACAAUCUAGGUCAAGUUUGAAUUUGUAUCAUCUGGGGUAAAAAAAUAGUUCACCUGGUCGAAACAAAG
This is a long non-coding RNA of Mercenaria mercenaria, 1732 nucleotides long. RefSeq lists it as uncharacterized. Lineage: Eukaryota; Metazoa; Mollusca; Bivalvia; Venerida; Veneridae. The transcript is spliced from 3 exons. The record is from RefSeq and is a predicted model, not a curated record.